AAAUUGAAGAGUUUGAUCAUGGCUCAGAUUGAACGCUGGCGGCAGGCCUAACACAUGCAAGUCGAACGGUAACAGGAAACAGCUUGCUGUUUCGCUGACGAGUGGCGGACGGGUGAGUAAUGUCUGGGAAACUGCCUGAUGGAGGGGGAUAACUACUGGAAACGGUAGCUAAUACCGCAUAAUGUCGCAAGACUAAAGAGGGGGACCUUCGGGCCUCUUGCCAUCGGAUGUGCCCAGAUGGGAUUAGCUAGUAGGUGGGGUAACGGCUCACC
Molecule: ribosomal RNA, 272 nt
Filed under: Escherichia coli
Lineage: Bacteria; Pseudomonadati; Pseudomonadota; Gammaproteobacteria; Enterobacterales; Enterobacteriaceae
Also listed under: 1 other name
Description: partial 16S ribosomal RNA
Rfam family: Bacterial small subunit ribosomal RNA
Source: RNAcentral